RNAcentral lists this ribosomal RNA (486 nucleotides) under uncultured bacterium. RNAcentral's name for it is "partial 16S ribosomal RNA". It matches the Rfam family "Bacterial small subunit ribosomal RNA", at positions 30 to 507 of the family's 1533-position model. The record is from RNAcentral.
AUUGAACGCUGGCGGCAUGCCUUACACAUGCAAGUCGAACGGCAGCACGGGUGCUUGCUCCUGGUGGCGAGUGGCGAACGGGUGAGUAAUACAUCGGAACAUGUCCUGUAGUGGGGGAUAGCCCGGCGAAAGCCGGAUUAAUACCGCAUACGAUCCACGUAUGACAGCGGGGGACCUUCGGGCCUCGCGCUAUAGGGUUGGCCGAUGGCGGAUUAGCUAGUUGGUGGGGUAAAGGCCUACCAAGGCGACGAUCAGUAGCUGGUCUGAGAGGACGACCAGCCACACUGGGACUGAGACACGGCCCAGACUCCUACGGGAGGCAGCAGUGUGGAAUUUUGGACAAUGGGCGAAAGCCUGAUCCAGCAAUGCCGCGUGUGUGAAGAAGGCCUUCGGGUUGUAAAGCACUUUUGUCCGGAAAGAAAUCCUUGACUCUAAUACAGUCGGGGGAUGACGGUACCGGAAGAAUAAGCACCGGCUAACUACGUG